This 402-nucleotide ribosomal RNA is filed under the name uncultured bacterium. Its description in RNAcentral is "bacterial SSU rRNA". It matches the Rfam family "Bacterial small subunit ribosomal RNA", at positions 355 to 774 of the family's 1533-position model. The record is from RNAcentral.
UGGGGAAUAUUGGACAAUGGGCGCAAGCCUGAUCCAGCCGUGCCGCGUGAGUGAUGAAGGCCCUAGGGUUGUAAAGCUCUUUUGUGCGGGAAGAUAAUGACGGUACCGCAAGAAUAAGCCCCGGCUAACUUCGUGCCAGCAGCCGCGGUAAUACGAAGGGGGCUAGCGUUGCUCGGAAUCACUGGGCGUAAAGGGUGCGUAGGCGGGUCUUUAAGUCAGGGGUGAAAUCCUGGAGCUCAACUCCAGAACUGCCUUUGAUACUGAGGAUCUUGAGUUCGGGAGAGGUGAGUGGAACUGCGAGUGUAGAGGUGAAAUUCGUAGAUAUUCGCAAGAACACCAGUGGCGAAGGCGGCUCACUGGCCCGAUACUGACGCUGAGGCACGAAAGCGUGGGUAGCAAACA